Sceloporus undulatus (fence lizard) is the source of this 200-nucleotide long non-coding RNA. RefSeq lists it as uncharacterized. The transcript is spliced from 3 exons. Lineage: Eukaryota; Metazoa; Chordata; Lepidosauria; Squamata; Phrynosomatidae. The record is from RefSeq and is a predicted model, not a curated record.
GCUAAGUCAAAAUGGUACCCAGGAAGCAUGACUGUGAUGAAGAUACCCAUGUGUCCCUUUACUGUCCAGAUAGCACCUUGAACUAAAGGAAAGAUGGCAAUCAAAAUUAGAUGAUUUCAGAGGUCUCAAGGCUGUCUCUGCCAUGAAACGUCAUGAGACAGACCAUUCAGGCAGCAGAACACUGGCACAAGCAAAUGGAC